This 460-nucleotide ribosomal RNA is filed under the name uncultured bacterium. RNAcentral describes it as "partial 16S ribosomal RNA". It matches the Rfam family "Bacterial small subunit ribosomal RNA", at positions 338 to 795 of the family's 1533-position model. The record is from RNAcentral.
ACUACGGGAGGCAGCAGUGAGGAAUAUUGGUCAAUGGACGCGAGUCUGAACCAGCCAAGUAGCGUGAAGGAUGACUGCCCUAUGGGUUGUAAACUUCUUUUAUAUGGGAAUAAAACAGGGUAUGCAUACCCUCUUGUAUGUACCAUAUGAAUAAGGAUCGGCUAACUCCGUGCCAGCAGCCGCGGUAAUACGGGGGAUCCGAGCGUUACUCGGAUUUAUGGGGUUUAAAGGGAGCGUAGGUGGAUAGUUAAGUCAGUUGUGAAAUUUUGCGGCUCAACCGUAAAAUUGCAGUUGAGACUGGCAGUCUAGAGUACAGUAGAGGUGGGCGGAAUGCGUGGUGUAGCGGUGAAAUGCUUAGAUGUCACGAAGAACUCCGAUGGCGAAGGCAGCUCACUGGACUGCAACUGACACUGAUGCUCGAAAGUGUGGGGAUCAAACAGGAUUAGAUACCCUUGUAGUC